This 446-nucleotide ribosomal RNA is filed under the name uncultured bacterium. RNAcentral describes it as "bacterial SSU rRNA". It matches the Rfam family "Bacterial small subunit ribosomal RNA", at positions 328 to 792 of the family's 1533-position model. The record is from RNAcentral.
UUGCCAGACUCCUACGGGAGGCAGCAGUAGGGAAUAUUGCUCAAUGGGGGAAACCCUGAAGCAGCAACGCCGCGUGGAGGAUGAAGGUUUUAGGAUUGUAAACUCCUUUUGUUAGAGAAGAUUGUGACGGUAUCUAACGAAUAAGCACCGGCUAACUCCGUGCCAGCAGCCGCGGUAAUACGGAGGAUGCGAGCGUUAUCCGGAUUUAUUGGGUUUAAAGGGUGCGUAGGCGGGACGGUAAGUCAGCGGUAAAAAUGCGGAGCUCAACUCCGGCGAGCCGUUGAAACUGCCGUUCUUGAGUGAGCGAGAAGUAUGCGGAAUGCGUGGUGUAGCGGUGAAAUGCAUAGAUAUCACGCAGAACUCCGAUUGCGAAGGCAGCAUACCGGCGCUCAACUGACGCUGAAGCACGAAGGCGUGGGUAUCGAACAGGAUUAGAUACCCGUGUA